UACGUAGGGAGCAAGCGUUGUCCGGAAUCAUUGGGCGUAAAGCGCGCGUAGGCGGCCCCGUAAGUCCGCUGUGAAAGUCAAAGGCUCAACCUUUGAAAGCCGGUGGAUACUGUGGGGCUAGAGUCCGGAAGAGGCGAGUGGAAUUCCUGGUGUAGCGGUGGAAUGCGUAGAGAUCCGGAAGAACACCGGUGGCGAAGGCGGUCUGCUGGGCAGUAGCUGACGCUGAGGCGCGACAGCGUGGGGAGCAAACAGG
RNAcentral lists this ribosomal RNA (253 nucleotides) under uncultured bacterium. Its description in RNAcentral is "partial 16S ribosomal RNA". It matches the Rfam family "Bacterial small subunit ribosomal RNA", at positions 524 to 776 of the family's 1533-position model. The record is from RNAcentral.